RNAcentral lists this ribosomal RNA (573 nucleotides) under Trichoderma virens. RNAcentral describes it as "eukaryotic LSU rRNA". The stretch from base 201 to 354 matches the Rfam family "5.8S ribosomal RNA". The record is from RNAcentral. Lineage: Eukaryota; Fungi; Ascomycota; Sordariomycetes; Hypocreales; Hypocreaceae.
CCGAGUUUACAACUCCCAAACCCAAUGUGAACGUUACCAAACUGUUGCCUCGGCGGGAUCUCUGCCCCGGGUGCGUCGCAGCCCCGGACCAAGGCGCCCGCCGGAGGACCAACCAAAACUCUUAUUGUAUACCCCCUCGCGGGUUUUUUACUAUCUGAGCCAUCUCGGCGCCCCUCGUGGGCGUUUCGAAAAUGAAUCAAAACUUUCAACAACGGAUCUCUUGGUUCUGGCAUCGAUGAAGAACGCAGCGAAAUGCGAUAAGUAAUGUGAAUUGCAGAAUUCAGUGAAUCAUCGAAUCUUUGAACGCACAUUGCGCCCGCCAGUAUUCUGGCGGGCAUGCCUGUCCGAGCGUCAUUUCAACCCUCGAACCCCUCCGGGGGGUCGGCGUUGGGGAUCGGCCCUUUACGGGGCCGGCCCCGAAAUACAGUGGCGGUCUCGCCGCAGCCUCUCCUGCGCAGUAGUUUGCACACUCGCAUCGGGAGCGCGGCGCGUCCACAGCCGUUAAACACCCCAAACUUCUGAAAUGUUGACCUCGGAUCAGGUAGGAAUACCCGCUGAACUUAAGCAUAUCAA